This 257-nucleotide ribosomal RNA is filed under the name Salmonella enterica. RNAcentral describes it as "partial 16S ribosomal RNA". It matches the Rfam family "Bacterial small subunit ribosomal RNA", at positions 1 to 254 of the family's 1533-position model. Lineage: Bacteria; Pseudomonadati; Pseudomonadota; Gammaproteobacteria; Enterobacterales; Enterobacteriaceae. RNAcentral also lists the same sequence under 1 other name. The record is from RNAcentral.
AAAUUGAAGAGUUUGAUCAUGGCUCAGAUUGAACGCUGGCGGCAGGCCUAACACAUGCAAGUCGAACGGUAACAGGAAGCAGCUUGCUGCUUCGCUGACGAGUGGCGGACGGGUGAGUAAUGUCUGGGAAACUGCCUGAUGGAGGGGGAUAACUACUGGAAACGGUGGCUAAUACCGCAUAACGUCGCAAGACCAAAGAGGGGGACCUUCGGGCCUCUUGCCAUCAGAUGUGCCCAGAUGGGAUUAGCUGGUUGGUG